This is a long non-coding RNA of Carassius auratus (goldfish), 1027 nucleotides long. RefSeq lists it as uncharacterized. The transcript has 3 exons. The record is from RefSeq and is a predicted model, not a curated record. Lineage: Eukaryota; Metazoa; Chordata; Actinopteri; Cypriniformes; Cyprinidae.
CUUUUUUCUGGAUCGUUGGAGAGUAAGCAGCGUGAGCUUCUUUGGGACUUAAAAGCUUGUGGUUUUCUAUUUUAACCACUAGAUCAUUUACUUUUUGGCAACCAAAGACUAACCUUUUAUUGGUAAUGUGUCUUGAAUUUACAACAAUGAAAGGAAACUUCCAGAAGGACAUCAAGGCCGCGUCUGAUCUCAAGAAAAAGUGGUCAAAAUCAAAGAGGACUUUUCUGCGUGCAAAUAUGGGAGAAAGGAGGCGGAAGGUCCGCGUUUGGUCGGCCAGGAGACCCCAGCUGAGUCCGGGCCGUGUCGACGGUAACGUUACAGCUAGCGCCACGCAGAAGCAAAGUCACGUACCGUCUGUAGCCAUGGCACCAAGAAACACAACGCAGUAUCUAAUGGACCUGGUGUACGCUGACCUAUCAUAUGUUUGUGAUAUCUUUGGACUUCCAACAGAGAGACUUCGAGAACGUGUUCUACAGGAAUGAAAUCUGACGCGUUUCCGAAACCUGACUUGGACUUCGUCGGAAUGAGACGACUGGGCAGCCGUGAACGCAUAAGACAGUAAUAACAUUGCGCAGACUCCAACUCAGGGAGGCGGAACGCUCUGCGUCACUGCUGCGUGAUGACGUGUACACCACGCCCCGCCGCCAGCAAGGCCGCCACCACGUGGCCAGCAGGUAAACACGCUCCACCCUUUGUGUACGCGGUGUAAGAGCGCUGCAGUAGCGUGUUGUCGCAGUGUAAUUACUGAGAAAUGUGCAUGCAUUGUUCUGCCAACGGAUGCAUGUGUGUUUUGGGAGACUUUUACAGGUUGCUGAUCCUCCUCGGUGGAUCUCAGCUGUCUGUGCAACCCAUCCAGAGCCUUGGGAAAAGCCGCAUGGCUGCUUGCUCAUCGCUGCAGGGUAACUGUGGUAAAUGUUUGAAUGUAAAUCUACAUGCACUCAGAGUUGCAACUCCUGUGAUCUGAUCUACUUUGAGAAAUUAUGUAAAUAUUGAUUGUAUUAAAUAUUAAAAUUUGUUAAUUAAGUUA